Molecule: long non-coding RNA, 2266 nt
Filed under: Citrus sinensis (sweet orange)
Lineage: Eukaryota; Viridiplantae; Streptophyta; Magnoliopsida; Sapindales; Rutaceae
Description: long non-coding RNA (CSIN_LNC001425)
Source: RNAcentral
UUGAUAUUUACAAUUUUUUGUGAUAGAUACAAUUAUUUUACUUAAACGGCAAAGAAUUAAUAUAUGGAUUACAUAUUUAUAUCUUAGUUUUUUAUUAUUUAAUUUAACGAAAACAAUAAUGUAUUCUGAAUGCGAGGGACUUGCAGCCGUUCACAUACUUUUUUUUUUUAUUACAUGAGACUAUUGCUCAAAUUGCAAUUCAUAUUACAUGAGAAUAUAACUGAUAUUUACAAAUCAGACUAUAACUGGGACCAACAUACAUCAAUAUUAAUGGAGCGCUGCCCAGAUUUUAACCCUCUCAAAUAUUCGAGGGAUGUCUACUCCUCACACUUGGGUAAGGAAGCAGACUGUCUUCACUCAAAUUUACUUGAGGAAAGAAGACCCCCACAAUGCAUUGUGGGGGUUCGAACUGCUGCUCUCCAAGUUGGAGAGCAGCAGCUCUCACCACUCGGCCAAAGGCCAAGUGGCUGCCGUUCACAUACUUUUGACAUCUUAAAGUGUUCGCGAAAAGUCAUUGUCACAUCUAUCAAAAUAUCAAAGCAAUAUAAAUUUUUCUAUUAAAAUGAAACAUGCCUAUCAUGAAUAAUCAAGAAAAAAUCGUUGUAAGCCUGUAUUUACAAAGUACAAGAUCAUAUUAAUGCUUAAAUACAAUAAUUAGGACAAUAUCUAAUAUCUAAGCCUUAGUACAAUAUUUAUAAUCAUAUAGUAAUCGAGAUUCUCCUUCAUAAUUCUAAUAUGUCACGUCUCAAAUAACGAUCCUUAUUUAAUAUUGGAGGGAAAUAUAUUUUACCUCUAAAACGGGGAGCCAAAUAAACAUAUAUUAAAAGGGGAGUUCAUUCCCAGCAAUGCUCAUGCGCCCAAGGUUAUUGGACACAUGAGUUGUCAAUAGGUUACGAGCCUUAUUUAAGGUAACUCUGAUUACUAUGAAUGAUGAAAAAUCAGCUUUACGCACUAAAAUCUAAUGAGGUAAAAGAAAAAUUUUAAGAAUUUGACUUGUAAAUAAAAAAAAAAAACCUCAAUCGAGCAUAAAAAAGAAAUUAUUGUAGUACUGAUGAUAUAGAAUUAACAAAACAUGAGACAUAAACUGACAACUACUAUGUAUAUAAAUAUAAAGGAUGGUGUUAUAUUCACUCUAAAAAUUACUCAUGAGCAUUCAUUCAUUAAUGUUAAAAAAAAAAUUAUACUUUGUACACUCUUUAAAAUGUCAAAAAUGUCCUCACUUAAUCCUUUUUAAAAUUAAUUAUCUUUAUUUACUCUACAUUAUACACACUCAAAAAAAAUCUCUAAACACUCUUUUAUUACUAAAAUUAAAAUAUUUAGUUAUAUGAUAAAUUUUGCCAAUAAGUGAAGAAUGAUAAAUAACAAAAUAGGAGCAGAAAGUAGUCUAUUAAUUGAUGGCAGAAAGUAGUCUAUUAAUUAAUAGUGUCCAAGUUGAUGGCAGAAAGUAGUCUAUUAAUUGCGGAGAUGACAAAGUUGUAUUAUUGAUAAUAUGUAAUUGUUUUUCCUCGCGAAUUGCAAUUCAAAUGGGGAGGGUUUUUCUAGUAGAGCUGAAAGGAAGGUUUUGUUACAAAUUCAGAGAGCAAACUUAAUUGUUUUUGCUAAUAGCAUCAUUCCUUGAUCUUUUAAUUGUCAUCGAGGAAGGGCAUACCUCUUCUGUGAUAUGGAUAUGUUGAUGCUCUCUAGCAUGCACACUGUGAAGGAUAUAUUUUGUUGCAUCUGUAGACAAAUUAUUGGCUAGAAAAGAGCACACAAAAAAAGGUUAUAAAAUUGAUUAAAAUUUUUAUGUUCAUCGAAAUGAACCAACCUUGAUAUUUACAAUUUUUUGUGAUAGAUACAAUUAUUUUACUUAAACGGCAAAGAAUUAAUAUAUGGAUUACAUAUUUAUAUCUUAGUUUUUUAUUAUUUAAUUUAACGAAAACAAUAAUGUAUUCUGAAUGCGAGGGACUUGCAGCCGUUCACAUACUUUUUUUUUUUAUUACAUGAGACUAUUGCUCAAAUUGCAAUUCAUAUUACAUGAGAAUAUAACUGAUAUUUACAAAUCAGACUAUAACUGGGACCAACAUACAUCAAUAUUAAUGGAGCGCUGCCCAGAUUUUAACCCUCUCAAAUAUUCGAGGGAUGUCUACUCCUCACACUUGGGUAAGGAAGCAGACUGUCUUCACUCAAAUUUACUUGAGGAAAGAAGACCCCCACAAUGCAUUGUGGGGGUUCGAACUGCUGCUCUCCAAGUUGGAGAGCAGCAGCUCUCACCACUCGGCCAAAGGCC